RNAcentral lists this ribosomal RNA (742 nucleotides) under Diplodinium anisacanthum. Its description in RNAcentral is "SSU rRNA". It matches the Rfam family "Eukaryotic small subunit ribosomal RNA", at positions 109 to 978 of the family's 1831-position model. Lineage: Eukaryota; Ciliophora; Litostomatea; Entodiniomorphida; Ophryoscolecidae. The record is from RNAcentral.
GUUAUUGUUUAUUUGAUACAACAAAUGGAUAACUGUAGAAAAACUAGAGCUAAUACAUGCUUUAACCGCAAGGUUGUAUUUAUUAGAUAUUCCGGAUUGGUGAAUCAUAAUAACUUCGCAAAUCUCGUUUAUGACGAGAUAAAUCAUCCAAGUUUCUGCCCUAUCAUGCUUUCGAUGGUAGUGUAUUGGACUACCAUGGCUCUCACGGGUAACAGGGAAUUAGGGUUCGAUUCUGGAGAAGGAGCCUGAGAAACGGCUACUACAUCUACGGAAGGCAGCAGGCGCGUAAAUUACCCAAUCCUGACUCAGGGAGGUGGUGACAAGAUAUAACAACGCGAUCAAAAUCGCGAUUGUAGUGAGGGUAUUCUAAACAGAACCUAUAGUACGAUUAGAGGGCAAGUCUGGUGCCAGCAGCCGCGGUAAUUCCAGCUCUAAUAGCGUAUAUUAAAGUUGCUGCAGUUAAAAAGCUCGUAGUUGGAUUUCAAGGACUGUAGACCCCUCUGGGGAAUACAUCCUACUAGUCAUUGACUGUUACUGUGAGAAAAUUAGAGUGUUUCAAGCAGGCUUUCGCAAGAAUACAUUAGCAUGGAAUAACGAAUGUAUUUAGAAUCUUGGUUAAUUCUAAAUUACGAUUAAUAGAGACAGUUGGGGGCAUUAGUAUUUAAUUGUCAGAGGUGAAAUUCUUGGAUUUGUUAAAGACUAACGUAUGCGAAAGCAUUUGCCAAGGAUGUUUUCAUUAAUC